CCUACGGGCGUCAGCAGUGGGGGAUAUUGCACAAUGGGGGAAACCCUGAUGCAGCGACGCCGCGUGGGUGCAGAAGCGCCUCGGCGCGUAAAGCCCUGUCAGCAGGGACGAAAAUGACGGUACCUGAAGAAGAAGCCCCGGCUAACUACGUGCCAGCAGCCGCGGUAAUACGUAGGGGGCAAGCGGUAUCCGGCUUUACUGGGGGUAAAGGGGGCGCAGACGGCGAUGCAAGCCAGGAGUGAAAUCCCGGGGCCCAACCCCGGGACGGCUCUUGGAACUGCGUGGCUAGAGUGCAGGAGGGGCAGGCGGAAUGCCUGGUGUAGCGGUGAAAUGCGUAGAUAGCAGGAGGAACACCGGUGGCGAAGGCGGCCUGCUGGACUGCAACGGACGUUGAGGCCCGAAAGCGUGGGGAGCAAACAGGAGUAGAUACCCGUGUAGUC
Molecule: ribosomal RNA, 440 nt
Filed under: uncultured bacterium
Lineage: Bacteria
Description: partial 16S ribosomal RNA
Rfam family: Bacterial small subunit ribosomal RNA
Source: RNAcentral